UACGGAGGGGGCUAGCGUUGUUCGGAAUUACUGGGCGUAAAGCGCACGUAGGCGGCUUUGUAAGUUAGAGGUGAAAGCCCAGAGCUCAACUCUGGAACUGCCUUUAAGACUGCAUCGCUUGAAUUGUGGAGAGGUAAGUGGAAUUCCGAGUGUAGAGGUGAAAUUCGUAGAUAUUCGGAAGAACACCAGUGGCGAAGGCGACUCGCUGGACAAGUAUUGACGCUGAGGUGCGAAAGCGUGGGGAGCAAACAGG
RNAcentral lists this ribosomal RNA (253 nucleotides) under uncultured bacterium. RNAcentral's name for it is "partial 16S ribosomal RNA". It matches the Rfam family "Bacterial small subunit ribosomal RNA", at positions 524 to 776 of the family's 1533-position model. The record is from RNAcentral.